Molecule: long non-coding RNA, 3754 nt
Organism: Astatotilapia calliptera (eastern happy)
Lineage: Eukaryota; Metazoa; Chordata; Actinopteri; Cichliformes; Cichlidae
Source: Ensembl
UUCAGACUGCUGCAUGGAGGACUCUCCAGCAGCACUGAACCAAAAACACAUCUCUGUGGGUCGUUAUGUUACAAUCCAAAGGAACGUCGCUGCUGUGAGAGAAAUCAAGAAUCUCACUGGUUCUGUGCCUCAGGUCAAAGGAAGACACCACCCACUGUGUACAACCCCCAUACACAAGUCUGUUGUGAUGGAUGUGUAUCAGGAAAGAAGCCUUGGAUAGAUCAAUGCUGUGGAGAGACGCCGUAUGGCUCAGCACAACGUGGAGUUCUGUGUUGUAAUAAGAGCUUGUACGAGGGCAGAGACGAUGGAGAGGAAUGUUCGGAGAUAGGUAUUCCUUACAACCCUGCUAAAGGGACCAUGUGUUGUUCUCACUUUCAUGGCAGCCCAGGACAACACUGCUGUGGGACAGAAAUUUACCAGCCUGAUGUUGAGAUUUGCUGCAAUGGACACAGACAUCCCAGACUGAGAAACAUCCACUGCUGUGGGGUCAAAGCCUACAACAUUAAAGACCCACAGAUGAAGUGCUGUGCAGGAACACUGUACAAUCUGACAUCAUUAGAUGAGCAUGGGGGGGAUGCGCAGUGCUGUGGAUCCAUUCUGCAAAAGCCACAGGAGAUUUGCUGCUCAGGUGAGGACAAAGAGGUGCUUUACACUGUCAAGACAGGAUUUGGAUGCUGUGGUCACCUCUAUUACAACACCACUUUGUGGUCGUGCUGCGCUGGGAGGCUUACAUUAAUCAAUGAAUCAGAACAGGAUCAGAGAAAGAUGAUUAACGAAUACCGACAUUUCUCUGUGAAUAAUCUGAACAAAACUUCUCUUUGCAAUAAAGUGCGCAUUGGGAUUGUGGAAAGUGUGUCUCUGCAUAGCAUUGUUUUCAAGAGCAUGCUAAAAGUCCAUGGGAAGAAGGCCAAAGUCAAAGCUUUGUCUUUGCCGUACACCCUGAAAAUAGUUGAUCACUGCAGCUCCCCUAAACUGAUUCCUGGGAAGAUCUAUAUCUUUAACAACGUUAAUAUUUUCACUGAUUUCAAUCAUCAAUCUGUUCUUCAAUCACUGCAUUUCAUUUUUUCCAAGUGUUCACCUUAGACCAGUAAUCACAUUCUAGUUACAACUGUAUUCUUACUUGUGUUACAAAGGUCAUCUCCUUGAAGACAGAUUAGAAGAAGAGAAAAUCAUUAAAAGUGCCAUAUGGGCAUUUCUUUCAUUUUAGUGCAUUGAAGGACAAGAACGUGCAAGUACAAACUACUUCGAGCUUGGAAGUAACAUGCACAUUGAUCCCAGCCAAGCAGCUAGAGUCCUCAUUCUGUUUAUUUGGGACUGUAGUCUAACUAGUGUGAUGGUACACCUAAGGUCAUGUUAGAGUAAUGCAAAAAAAGAUAAGAUGAAUAAAAAUUAUUUAUUUAUAAAACUAUUUAAAAUGUAAAGUAAUUAAGGAAGUAAUAACUACUUCAAAAUCACCAAGAAAUGUCAAACUUUAAUUACUUUAGUUACAAUUAUGUCUUUACUUGUGUUACUUUUAAAAAAAACAAUGAGCAAUGUGUAAUUUCUUACUGUUUAUGGGAACCAUCCCAUCUUUAUGUAACAGUACAACAUUCAACCUUACAGACCCACACAACAAAAAAAGAAGAUAUAAACGUGAUCAUCUUUAGGUAUAGCCACAAUUACCAGCAAAGUUAGUGGAAAAACAGCUCAAAAUUUUCAAAUAGCCAGUUCAGUAGAGUUCUCUGGAAUUGACACAGUCAUCUUAAGCAGCGGUCCCCAACCUUUUUAUGCCCGACAAUAUUUUCAUGGACGGACCUUUAACACACGUGAAAAGACCCAGGAAAACCGAGUUAACGAGCAAAACGAUAACAAAAUAACGCUGAAAACUGAUAAAAACCCUGAAAACCAUACAUUUCAUACCUGAGCCUCUACUCUCGCAGCCUGGUACCAAACGACUCACGGACCGGUACCGGUCCGAGGCCCGGGGGUUGGGGACCACUGAUCUUAAGCACUGCUCAGGGUCUUAGGGUCCUUUUUCAGGUUCUUGACAAGAAUUGAAUCCUGUUUGCAGCAAUGGAUAGAUGCUUCUCACAGUGAAAUCAAUGUAUUGCACUAAUCUCAAUUGCUCAAUGUUGUACACCACUGUAUUUUUUGUGUUUCUGCAAGGUGAGCCCACUUAAUUGUUGCAUUGUUGCAUACAUGAAAAAGCUAAAACUGUUUUUUUAAGUCAAACCCACACUAUUGAAUGUAUGCAUGUAUUAUAAAUCAUAUGUUUUAUUUUACUAGCUAAAGCUAGAGAACAAUAAGCACUUACUUCUGAAUGCCAUAGAUGUUAUAAGAAUUGCUAUUUCUUCUUAACUACCCAACUGUGUUCACCUUUGUGUAAGCUGUAGUUACUUUUUAACGAGAAUGUGAUUUACGUAAUGUGAUUAAAGAUAGAGUACUGUAACUGGCAGAUGCAGAGUGGGUACUAUGGAUGAGCCCCAGGGGUCCAGGCUCACCCAAUAAAGUUAUAGUGCCUCCUGAGCUGAAUUGUAUGCUAUACUGUAACUAAGUUACACUAAUUCACACAAUUUGGUGAUUAAAAAAAACGCCAAACAAACCUUGGACCCAUCCAGGUCAAACUUUGGGAAGUGCCUUUCUCUUUGAAACAAAAAAAAAAAGAAAGAAAGAAAGAUUCGUCAGGUUGUGAAGCUAGUUUUAAAUCAUGACCCUAUUCAAAGGUUUCGAAAUAAAUGGAAAUCUGUUCAAGAUAUUUACUUAGGUUUAUUGAGCCACUUCUGCACUUCUGUCUCUUUUCCUCUGCAAUAUAAGACAGAUGCAUUUUUUUUAAAAUAUUUCUCUGUGAAUGUUUGGUGCUAUGCAUGUAUUUAUAUUUAAUUUUUCUAUAGAAUAGUAAUGUGACUUGUGUUGAAUGACUCCUGUCAAAGUUGGUUGUUCUUCCAGUUCAUAUGGUCUGCAAUUGACCCAGGGUAAAGGUUUGCCAUUUUUGUACUGUAUAUUGCUUUAUUAGAAGUUGCUGACAUCUGUCAUUUUUUGAGUUGAUUUAUUAAAGAAAACAAUAUUGUACUCAUAAAUGCACAUUUAUUAUUGUCUAAUUCUGUCUUCCAACAAACCGAUGUAGUUCAAGGGCUUAAAAUGAAUCCAUUAAAAUACAUAAGACUGGGGCCAGUUUUUUGCACCACCAUCUUAAAUACAGUAGCCAAGAUUAAUAUUGCCAAUCCAUCUAACUACGAUUUAUGUAUGUGGCUAUGUACUGGUCACAUGUGGACAACAGAACUCACUGACAUUUGCAUACUAUGGAGACAAAGUUUAAGACUUGAAUUAGGAGAAGUAAGAAAGCAGAAUUAAGUUGAAGGCAAUCUACUAGUAAUUGGCGGAACCACAAAGAGGAACACAACAUAGAUUUUCCAAAGAAGGUUUGACUGUUGUACUAAAUUUUGUAUAUAUUUAAGUUUAUUUAAACCACUUUCUAAUGCAUUGAACUAUAAUCUUGAAGGCAGAGUGAUCAAACGGUAUUGAAUGUCAAAAUUAUUCUAUACAUGUGUAGCCCUGUCUGAAAUUAUUCAGGCUUACAGGGUAAAGAAAAAAAAAGUCUACUGUUAUAAAAAAUGGUUAAAAUAUAAAUAGUUGAUAAAAUGUUUAAAAUCAUAUGCUUUGGUACAAAUGUAUUUCAUUUACAGUUAAGAGUCCAAUAAAUAAAAGGGUUUCAUGAUUUAGAGUUCAUUUUCUGUGCAGAAUCAAUAUGUUGGGGUGUAACCUAAGUUUAUUUACC